CAACUACUACUGCAAGUUCCUACUUCUGUCACCUACUGCUGUGCUGCAUUCCCUGCCCCAGAUCGAUCAGGUCCCCAACUCACAACGACCCAUGCAUCUGCUGAACCUGUGCUUUACUGAAAUCAUGCACACCCUAGGAUCAUCGCUGAUGCGCUGAAAAUCAAGUUGGAUCCACCCUUUGAUGAUACGGAAAUGCCAAGUGGUGAAAGACCAGGACACUGUUGAAUAUUCUGGUGAGUAAUCCCUCCGUUCCAAAAUAAAUACAGUUUUGUACGGUUCAUGUUCAACGUUUGACCGUUCGUCUUAUUUGAAAUUUUUUUAUUAGUAUUUUUUAUUGUUAUUAGAUGAUAAAAUAUGAAUAGUAGCAAUUAUGGGCGUCCACUGCUUCACAUGAUAAUCACAUCACUUUGGGUUACGCUACGCACGUCAUCAGCUUUCAUUAAUAGCCACUUGCUGUCACUGUAUCAUGAUCCUGACUGCAAUUAGGCUUCCUAAUGU
Long non-coding RNA from Oryza sativa Japonica Group (Japanese rice), 498 nucleotides. RefSeq lists it as uncharacterized. NCBI's taxonomy places the organism in Eukaryota, Viridiplantae, Streptophyta, Magnoliopsida, Poales, Poaceae. The record is from RefSeq and is a predicted model, not a curated record.